AUGUUGAGGGCGGCGGCGUCAAGGUGCGCCGGCGGCGCCAUCCGGCGGCUGUCGGUGGCUUCGUACCCAGCAGCGGUAGGGGCGCGGAGGAAGCCUCCCCAGGACGAGGGGGACUGGUCCUACUACAAGGAGUGGUGGGGAGAGGACGACGGCCCCGGCGACGGAGCUCACACCGUCUUCCGCCGCCACUCCGAGCAUGGCAAUGGCGUCGUCUCCGUCGUCGCCUACCCAGCCUCCAUACCGGCCAGCGAUCAGUGGCCAGUGAUGGAGAGAUGGCUUCAAGAAAGAAAUUUGGCAAUAUACCCAGAAUCAAGUGGUGCUGACCAAUUUAAGAUACUAGGCUACCAAUGGCGAGUAAUGCGCUUUAACGACCAUACACGGCAAAGUACUGCAAAAGUAAUGGCGUGUUACCGGUUUGGCGGUGAUAGGGCAUUAUACUCAAUGCAGCAACCCAAUUGUUUAGCUGUUCCUUAUGUCAAGAGCAUGGUAUCAGCAGGGUUGACAGCACUCCCUAGUUGUUCUUAUGAUCUCCCUCAAGCAGUUUCUGAGCCGAACACUAUGAAAAUUCUUUGUAUCGGUCAUGGUGGCGGCAGCAUACCAUUGUUUUUGGCUAGUAAAUUCAGAGGUGCUGAUGUCCACAUUGUGGAAAUCGAUCCAGUCGUCGUUUCAGCCUCGGUCGAAUCCAUGGGCUUCCCGGCAUCAUGCGCGAAAGGGUUAUCAGCGCACACCAUGCAGCCCACCGACGGCGACGAGCUGCUAUGGAACGGCGUCCACGACCGCAUCUCCCUCCACAUAGAAGACGCGGAAGACUUCAUCGCCGGCGACAGCAACGUCUACGACCUGGUCUUCAUCGACGCGUACGACGGGAACGACAUAUUCCCCCGCAAGCUCUGGGACGCCGACGGGGCGUUCCUGAGGAACCUGGAGGAGAAGGUCCACCCGCUCCACGGCACCGUGGUGGUGAACCUGCACUCCGACUCGGGGCCGUCGUCCCCCGACGUCGACGACGAGGCCCCCUUCGAGAACGUGCUCCCCAUGGGCAGGUACGUCUCCCACGUCUGCCGGGCAUACAAGCGGCAUUUCGGGCUGGCCUUCACGGUGGCCUCCCCCUGGCUCUGCAACAUCACGCUGGUCGCCUGCCGUGAUAAGGCGAUACUGAAGGGCGCGCCGGUAGGGCGCAGCUGUAGGGAUUUUGUUCUCAGCAAGCUUCUGUCUAGGUCGAGCAUGGUUGAGCAGGCGCUGGACCUGCCGUUCCCCUGUCUGCAGUACGUCAAGAAUGGCUUCACGCUGGUUGAAUGA
This 1299-nucleotide ribosomal RNA is filed under the name Triticum aestivum (bread wheat). RNAcentral's name for it is "partial small subunit ribosomal RNA". Lineage: Eukaryota; Viridiplantae; Streptophyta; Magnoliopsida; Poales; Poaceae. The record is from RNAcentral.